GAUGGCUUAGGACCUCCACACAGAACCUUCAGAAAAGCUUCCACGCUGAGCCUCUUGAGAAGUCAAAAAUCUCUAAUCACCACAGAGAAGACAAAAAUUAAGCCACAGAUAUAAUUCACAGCUGUUUGAAGGCAUCCUCAACACAUUUCAUAAUUCAUAACACAGGUUUCACUAAUCUGAAAAAAUCAUGGUAAAAUCAAUGGAAGAGUCAAACAGAAAAAUGAGCAAUGUCAUGACUUUGUCAAAAGAAUCCUGCACUCCCGCAUUAACCAUGCCAUGUGACCCCAGGAGGAAGGCCCCUCCUCAGAAGGAAGAUGAAAAAGUAAAGCCAUUUGAGUGUGCAACUCUUCAUCCAGAAGUCUUCCCUCUACGGUUUCUGAAGGUCUUCAGCAAUAAACGAGAAAUGUCGCAGCCAUCAGCGAUUUCUGGCCUCCAAUGUGAAUGAGGGCCCCCCAACUGAGCCAGGAGUGCACGCCUCCACCCCCAAGGUCAUUGCUAAGGAGUUAGAGGGAUGCAAGAAGCAAGGUGAAAAAGGAAGCAGGUUGGUCCCAGAGAGCUGAGGUGUGUGUGAAAGCAAUGAAUUCAGUGAAUGCUAAAUUCCUUAACUUGAUACCUGACCUUUGAUGUUCAGACUGCCUGCUCCCUUUGUUGCAAAGGUGAAUAGCCUGACUUUCCCCUGCCUCCUUGGAGCAGUCUCCUCAGAGCUACUGAGAUGCUGGGCUCCUGGGCUCAGAGUCCUAAACAUUCUCACCGAAUAAAAUAACUACUUUCAGGUUGUGACUAUAUUUUUUAGUCAAUAACUAUGUGUAUUAAAUAUCUUACAUGUAAAACUAGAUUUCGGUAGAUACACACACAAAUUUCUUCUUUCACUCUAUGCAAACAGAGAUGGCAAAAGUAACUGGUUUGAUUGAUAUAUCUGUAGGUUUUAUUACUCCAAAAAUUAUCAUAAGAGCUACAUGGAAAGGUUUUCUCCAAUCAAAAAAUUUCACUUAUAUCAGAUUUAAUUUUAUGUAGGUAAGAAUAGUAGUUACAAAUAUUUCACAGAUUCAUCCUUUGUCUUGCCAACUUUGACAUGUUUUUACCUUCAGGAGAAAUACUGAUCAGAUUCUUACUACUCGAUGUCAUUGGUUAUCAUAAUAAAUUAACCAUGAGUACUUCAUCAGCAGAUACUUGAAAGCUUGUUAUAAGCUAUAAAUUGG
This 1199-nucleotide long non-coding RNA is filed under the name Ovis aries (sheep). Its description in RNAcentral is "lncRNA (ENSOARG00000026732.1)". Lineage: Eukaryota; Metazoa; Chordata; Mammalia; Artiodactyla; Bovidae. The record is from RNAcentral.